This 448-nucleotide long non-coding RNA is filed under the name Bos taurus (domestic cattle). RNAcentral's name for it is "long non-coding RNA NONBTAT017703". The record is from RNAcentral. Lineage: Eukaryota; Metazoa; Chordata; Mammalia; Artiodactyla; Bovidae.
GAAAGGAGGAGAGCUGCUUGCUGAGUGGAGUGUGUGGUGUUACCGAUUUGGGGUUUCUUUUUGCUUAAGGAGAAACAGCAGUGGGUCUAGGUGUGCAGCUCGCGGCAGAGCAGCAGAUGAGGUGCUGGCAGGUGGUUAACACAGGUGCCGGAGCUAUGCACGUGGAGACGGCUGGGAAGCUCGGGGAACUUCCGCUUUGGGGAGGCAGAGCCAGGGAUGGUCUCACCUGUUGCAGCAAGCACAUAUCACUGUCAUAAGUUAAAAAGAAGAAAUCAAGGAAGCAGAGAAGCAGAUGAAUAGUCAUUUUACUUUAAAAAAUCAAUUUCCAGAUAAUUCCACCCAUGAUCAUUUGUUUUUGUUCAAUUAUGUAGAACAAAGCUAGGAUAUAAUUAACGGGUGGGUUAUUUUUACCUACACUUGAAAUUCUGCAGGUCCAAUACCUUCUCAA